GGGGAAUAUUGCGCAAUGGGGGAAACCCUGACGCAGCAACGCCGCGUGCGGGAUGAAGGCUUUCGGGUUGUAAACCGCUUUCAGCAGGGAAGAUUAUGACGGUACCUGCAGAAGAAGCCCCGGCUAACUACGUUCCAGCAGCCGCGGUAAUACGUAGGGGGCAAGCGUUAUCCGGAUUCAUUGGGCGUAAAGCGCGCGCAGGCGGGUUGCUAAGCGGGACCUCUAAUCUUGGGGCUCAACCUCAAGCCGGGUCCCGAACUGGCAGCCUCGAGUGCGGUAGGGGUAAGCGGAAUUCCCGGUGUAGCGGUGGAAUGCGCAGAUAUCGGGAAGAACACCGAUGGCGAAGGCAGCUUACUGGGCCGACACUGACGCUGAGGCGCGAAAGCUAGGGGAGCGAACAGG
RNAcentral lists this ribosomal RNA (402 nucleotides) under uncultured bacterium. RNAcentral's name for it is "bacterial SSU rRNA". It matches the Rfam family "Bacterial small subunit ribosomal RNA", at positions 356 to 776 of the family's 1533-position model. The record is from RNAcentral.